AUGGCGUCGCCGCCGCCGCCGGAGGUCGCCGUGCCGGUUGACGAGGAGGACCGGGAGGCGGAGGGAGAGGAUAUCUGCGCGUUCGAUAUACCCGGCAAGAACGCCCCGCGCGAUCGCCUGCGGCGGUGGAGGCAAAUUGCUCUUGUGCUCAACGCUUCACGCCGUUUUAGAUAUACUCUAGAUCUCGCGAGGGAUGAAGAGAGAGAAAACUUGAGAAGAGUUAUACGAGCUCAUGCACAAGUUAUACGGGCAGUAUUCCUUUUCAAAAAGGCUGGUCAAAAGGUGCUGCAAGAAUCUUACAAUGGUGCAAAAUUUGAGUCACUCUCUCAGACAUUUCCAAUUGAUCUGGAAAAGCUUGUAAUGUUGAACAGAGACCAUGAUGCAAUUAUGCUUCAGGAGGUUGGAGGGGUCAGUGGGCUUUCAGAUUUACUAAAGAGUAAUUUAGACAGAGGAGUUAGCUCAAAUGAGGACGAGCUGUUGCAGAGAAGAGACAUUUUCGGGGCAAACACCUAUCCGCGCAAGAAAAGAAAAAGCAUAUGGCGCUUUGUAUUUGAAGCUUGUCAGGAUUUAACUCUUGUGAUUCUGAUGGUAGCUGCUGCUAUAUCAUUAUCAUUGGGCAUGGCAACAGAGGGUGUAAAAGAUGGAUGGUAUGAUGGUGGAAGCAUAUUCUUUGCUGUUUUUCUUGUGAUAUUUGUUACAGCAACCAGUGAUUAUAGACAAUCUCUUCAGUUUCAACAUCUGAACGAGGAGAAACAAAAUAUACAGGUUGAGGUUAUCAGAGGUGGUAAGAGAGUAGGAGCUUCAAUAUUUGACCUUGUGGUUGGCGAUGUUGUUCCCCUCAAAAUUGGUGAUCAAGUCCCUGCAGAUGGUGUCCUGAUAUCUGGUCAUUCUCUUGCAAUAGAUGAAUCAACUAUGACGGGAGAGUCCAAAAUUGUUCAUAAGGACCAGAAUGCACCUAUGUUGAUGUCCGGUUGCAAGGUCGCAGAUGGCUAUGGCUCUAUGUUGGUAACAGGUGUGGGUACUAAUACUGAAUGGGGUAUGUUGAUGGCCAACCUUUCAGAAGAUAUUGGUGAAGAAACCCCGUUGCAGGCGCGCUUGAAUGGUGUCGCUACUUUAAUUGGUAUCGUGGGUUUAUCGGUUGCUGGUGUUGUCCUUGUCGUACUUUGGAUAAGAUAUUUUACCGGGCAUAGCAAUAAUCCAGAUGGAACUACUGCAUUUGUGGCUGGGACUACUGGUGCAAAACAGGGAUUUAUGGGGGCAAUCAGUAUUUUUACAAUUGCCGUAACUAUUGUGGUUGUUGCUGUGCCUGAAGGACUCCCUUUAGCAGUAACAUUGACCCUUGCAUAUUCAAUGCGAAAGAUGAUGCGAGACAAGGCUCUGGUGAGACGACUUUCAUCUUGUGAAACAAUGGGGUCAGCGACCACGAUUUGCAGUGACAAGACUGGAACUCUUACCUUGAAUAAGAUGACAGUUGUGGAAGCAUAUUUGAGUGGGACGAAGUUGAAUCCUUGUCAUAAUACUGGGAUGAUUUCUAGCAGUGUGGCAUCUCUACUUGUUGAAGGAAUUGCACAAAACACAGCAGGUGCCGUGUUUUCACCAGAGGAUGGAGGAGCUGCUGAAGUUGCUGGCUCACCAACUGAAAAAGCAAUUCUUUCUUGGGGUCUUAAGAUUGGGAUGAAUUUCAACGAUGUGAGGUCAAAAUCUUCAGUUCUCCGUGUUCUCCCAUUUAACUCAGUGAAGAAAUGUGGUGGCGUUGCAGUGCAGGUGUCAGAUGCUUAUGUACACAUCCACUGGAAAGGUGCUGCUGAGCUAGUAUUAGCAUCUUGCAAAAGCUGGCUUUCUAUUGAUGGUUCAGUUCAUCCAAUGAGUUUUGACAAGUAUAACGAAGUGAAGAGAUCCAUUGACGAUAUGGCAAUGAGUUCACUGCGCUGUAUUGCUUUUGCAUAUUGCACCUGCGAGCUCACAAUGGUUCCUAGAGAGGAUCUCGAUAAGUGGCAGUUGCCUGAGGAUAAUCUGACUCUUCUUGGAAUGGUCGGGAUAAAGGAUCCUUGUCGCCCAGGAGUAAGGGAUGCUGUACAAUUAUGCAGUGCUGCUGGUGUGAAGGUACGGAUGGUCACAGGAGAUAAUGUUGAAACAGCUAAGGCCAUUGCUUUCGAAUGUGGAAUACUAAAUUCAAAAGAUGUUGCUUCAGAGACAAUAAUAAUAGAGGGGAAGGUGUUCCGUGAAAUGUCUGAAACUGCACGAGAAGAAGUUGCUGUCAAGAUUACAGUAAUGGGACGGUCUUCUCCAAACGACAAGCUUUUGCUUGUACAAGCUUUGAAAAGAAAAGGCCAUGUAGUAGCUGUAACCGGUGAUGGCACCAACGACGCCCCAGCAUUGCAUGAGGCUGAUAUCGGUCUUUCAAUGGGCAUCUCGGGAACAGAAGUUGCUAAAGAAAGCUCGGACAUCAUAAUCUUGGAUGAUGACUUCACAUCCGUUGUCAAGGUUGUUCGUUGGGGGCGGUCUGUCUAUGCAAAUAUUCAGAAAUUCAUCCAGUUCCAGCUGACUGUUAAUGUCGCUGCCCUGGUAAUAAAUGUGGUAGCUGCUGUGUCCUCUGGUGCUGUUCCUCUGAAUGCAGUUGAGCUUCUUUGGGUGAACCUGAUCAUGGACACACUGGGAGCCCUUGCAUUAGCAACUGAACCACCAACAGACAACCUAAUGAAGAGACAUCCUGUUGGCAGAAGGGAACCUCUUGUUACAAAUAUCAUGUGGAGAAACCUGUUUAUCCAGGCUCUUUACCAGAUAGCAGUUCUUCUCGUCUUCAAUUUUGAUGGCAAAAGGAUUUUCCAGUUGCAUAAUGAAAGUCGAGAGCACGCUGACAAAAUUACGAACACCUUUGUCUUCAAUGCAUUUGUCUUUUGCCAAAUCUUCAAUGAGUUCAAUGCUCGCAAGCCUGAGGAGAAGAAUGUCUUGAGAGGAGUCACGAGCAACCGCCUUUUCAUGGGUAUAGUGGGUAUAACUACCAUUCUUCAGAUCUUGAUAAUUGAAUUUCUCGGAAAGUUCUUUGGGACUGUUAGGCUCGUUUGGAAGCUAUGGCUGCUAUCAGUUGCCAUUGGUGCAGUAAGCUGGCCUCUCGCGUAUGUUGGCAAGUCCAUUCCUGUUCCUGCCAGACCUUUCCAGGAUUACUUGAAGCAUUGUUGUGCCUGGAGAAGGCCACGCCGCCGCGAUGAAGAGCAGGGCGGCAAGAGCUGA
This 3231-nucleotide ribosomal RNA is filed under the name Triticum aestivum (bread wheat). RNAcentral describes it as "partial small subunit ribosomal RNA". Lineage: Eukaryota; Viridiplantae; Streptophyta; Magnoliopsida; Poales; Poaceae. The record is from RNAcentral.